AUUGAACGCUGGCGGCAGGCCUAACACAUGCAAGUCGAGCGGAGCGGCGGACGUGUGAGUAAUGCCUAGGAAUCUGCCUGGUAGUGGUGGAUGACGUCCGGAAACGGGCGCUAAUACCGCAUACUAUCAGAUCAGCCUAGGUCGGAUUAGCUAGUUCGUUGGGUAACGGCCUACCAAGGCGACGAUCCGUAACUGGUCUGAGAGGAUGAUCAGUCACACGGGAACUGAGAAACGGUCCAGACUCCUACGGGAGGCAGAAGUGGGGAAUAUUGGAGAAUGGGCGAAAGCCUGAUCCAGCCAGGCCGCGUGUGUGAAGAAGGUCUUCGGAUUGUAAAGCACUUUAAGUUGGGAGGCGUUACCAACAGAAUAAGCACCGGCUAACUUCGUGCCAGCCGACGCGGUAAUAC
Molecule: ribosomal RNA, 407 nt
Filed under: uncultured bacterium
Lineage: Bacteria
Description: partial 16S ribosomal RNA
Rfam family: Bacterial small subunit ribosomal RNA
Source: RNAcentral